GAUGAACGCUGGCGGUGUGCCUAAUACAUGCAAGUCGAGCGAACAGACGAGGAGCUUGCUCCUCUGACGUUAGCGGCGGACGGGUGAGUAACACGUGGAUAACCUACCUAUAAGACUGGGAUAACUUCGGGAAACCGGAGCUAAUACCGGAUAAUAUAUUGAACCGCAUGGUUCAAUAGUGAAAGACGGUUUUGCUGUCACUUAUAGAUGGAUCCGCGCCGCAUUAGCUAGUUGGUAAGGUAACGGCUUACCAAGGCAACGAUGCGUAGCCGACCUGAGAGGGUGAUCGGCCACACUGGAACUGAGACACGGCCCAGACUCCUACGGGAGGCAGCAGUAGCGAAUCUUCCGCAAGAGGCGAAAGCCUGACGGAGCAACGCCGCGUGAGUGAUGAAGGUCUUCGGAUCGUAAAACUCUGUUAUUAGGGAAGAACAAAUGUGUAAGUAACUAUGCACGUCUUGACGGUACCUAAUCAGAAAGCCACGGCUAACUACGUGC
This 498-nucleotide ribosomal RNA is filed under the name uncultured bacterium. Its description in RNAcentral is "partial 16S ribosomal RNA". It matches the Rfam family "Bacterial small subunit ribosomal RNA", at positions 28 to 508 of the family's 1533-position model. The record is from RNAcentral.